GACGAACGCUGGCGGCGUGCUUAACACAUGCAAGUCGAACGAUGAAGGAGAGCUUGCUCUCCGGAUUAGUGGCGAACGGGUGAGUAACACGUGACUAACCUGCCCCUUUCUCUGGGAUAACGCACCGAAAGGAGUGCUAAUACCGGAUACGAACUCUGAACACAUGUUCGGAGUUGGAAUGUUUUUCGGAAAGGGAUGGAGUCGCGGCCUAUCAGCUGGUUGGUGAGGAAACGGCUCACCAAGGCGACGACGGGUAGCCGACCUGAGAGGGCGACCGGCCACACUGGGACUGAGACACGGCCCAGACUCCUACGGGAGGCAGCAGUGGGGAAUAUUGCACAAUGGGCGAAAGCCUGAUGCAGCGACGCCGCGUGAGGGAUGAAGGUCUUCGGAUUGUAAACCUCUUUCAGUAGGGACGAAGCGAAAGUGACGGUACCUAAAGAAGAAGCACCGGCUAACUACGUGCCAGCAGCCGCCGUAA
Molecule: ribosomal RNA, 481 nt
Filed under: uncultured bacterium
Lineage: Bacteria
Description: partial 16S ribosomal RNA
Rfam family: Bacterial small subunit ribosomal RNA
Source: RNAcentral